CCAUCCACAAAGUGACCUUUCAUAUAUAAAGCCGAUAUAGGGACUCUUGCCACAGCAGGAGCACUUGUCAGCAGGGAUCCUAUAAAUGCAUUUGCCAGGAAAAAACACAGAAUUUGCAUUUUUACAGAGAAUCUUUAGUUUUUACUACUGCCGCCUGGGCUGACAGCCCAAGCCCCAGUCGUCCGGGGCUGACCACUCGAGCCCCCACGGCCCAUUUCAUUAUAAUCGUGGAUUUUUAUGUUUUUUUAUUGGAGAAUUUUGGGUUUUUUAAUCACAGAAACCUAGGAUCCCUGCUCAUCAGCCAGAUGUCUCUAUGCAGGUUUUCGGUGGAGUGGAGGGCCUUACUCCAACCAUCUGUACCAGGUUGUUGUUCGCCUACCAACAGUCAAUACAGAACAUGAGCAUGUGUUCUUGGGACAGGAUUGAAACAAGGCACCUGAACACAUAAGGACAUGUACCUGUCGGACAAUCAAAGGACUUGCUCCAUUCCUAUGGACCCCAAAUCAGAAUCCAACAUAUAUAUUUUAUACUAAUAACAUUUUAUCAGAGUAUUAAUUAAAUGUUAACUUGCUAACUUAAGACCAUGGGCGGAGACAUUGUGUAACCUUUUAACUAUUGUGCUAUCUUGUCUUGCUGCAAAACCUAUCCCGGGGUGUGGAACUGCCUACCCCGUCACCUUCCCCCGCCCAUGGAAAAUCUAUAUCUUCUAUUGUAAUCAAUUAAUUGACAGUGUCUUUGAGCCUAAUAAGCCAGGUGACACUCCGCCAGCGCUGUGUGUAAUAAACCCCUAUGCUUUGACCACUA
Long non-coding RNA from Malaclemys terrapin pileata, 804 nucleotides. RefSeq lists it as uncharacterized. The record is from RefSeq and is a predicted model, not a curated record. The transcript is spliced from 3 exons. NCBI's taxonomy places the organism in Eukaryota, Metazoa, Chordata, Testudines, Emydidae.